Molecule: long non-coding RNA, 808 nt
Organism: Lutra lutra (Eurasian river otter)
Lineage: Eukaryota; Metazoa; Chordata; Mammalia; Carnivora; Mustelidae
Exons: 3
Source: RefSeq, a predicted model, not a curated record
CACCCUCACAUCAGUAGAAUCUUCCAUGAUGCCCUUGUCCUCUUGCUGGUGAACUACUGCACUGGUCUGUCCAUGUCGGCCAGUUUCCGGAGUUCCCCUUACCGUUCCCUGCAUCUCGCAGGGUCCACAGAAGGCACAAGAACUACUUCCCCAGUGAAUGCAAAGAGAGAAUGAGACUUGUGUGUCAGGCCAGGACAGGAGCAAGGACUCUCUGGAGACCCUGAUGUGAGCAAACCAGCCCGUCAUUACUUGCAGUGUGGAUGCGGAUAAUGAAAUGCCUGAGCAAAACUGUGUCACAAUAAUAAAACGUCAUCUGAAAAGAUGACGGUAAUUUAGGAAUCGCCACUCCCACGCCCCCAACUACAGCUACAUCUAAAAGUCUUCAGCAACUGAAUUCUACCCAAGGGACACACAGAAGAGUGACAGCUUUGACCUUCUAACCUCAUCAGACCAUCCCUGCUUCUGACUCUGGUCACACCGAGCCUCGAGCCUCUCUACUUUCCUCGAAUGGGAUGUCCCUUCCUUUCUCACAGACUUUAAACUUGCUAAUUUCUCCCCUUUAAGAAAGAGUCUUUUUAGUGUCGUGCUGGAACCAAGUCAGGACAGCCUGCGUGCUCACCUUUUAGGAGUGUUUGUUUGCUGGUUUUUAAGCCAUUGACCUUGUAGGUCUAGUCACAAAUUUCAAUCUUAAUGUAAUGCAGAUUUAAAUGGCUCAUUCUGGCAGCAGUGUGAAGAAUGACCUGAAGGGCUACGAGGAGAAUAGUGCAGAGGGAAGGUACUGCUGAGACCCACGAAGGUCUGAUGCUCC